Molecule: ribosomal RNA, 466 nt
Filed under: uncultured bacterium
Lineage: Bacteria
Description: partial 16S ribosomal RNA
Rfam family: Bacterial small subunit ribosomal RNA
Source: RNAcentral
GAUGAACGCUGGCGGCGUGCUUAACACAUGCAAGUCGAACGGAAAGGCUCCUGCUUGCUGGGGUACUCGAGUGGCGAACGGGUGAGUAACACGUGGGUGAUCUGCCCUGCACUUCGGGAUAAGCCUGGGAAACUGGGUCUAAUACCGGAUAGGACGAUGGUUUGGAUGCCAUUGUGGAAAGUUUUUUCGGUGUGGGAUGAGCUCGCGGCCUAUCAGCUUGUUGGUGGGGUAAUGGCCUACCAAGGCGUCGACGGGUAGCCGGCCUGAGAGGGUGUACGGCCACAUUGGGACUGAGAUACGGCCCAGACUCCUACGGGAGGCAGCAGUGGGGAAUAUUGCACAAUGGGCGGAAGCCUGAUGCAGCGACGCCGCGUGGGGGAUGACGGCCUUCGGGUUGUAAACUCCUUUCGCUAGGGACGAAGCGCGAGUGACGGUACCUGGAGAAGAAGCACCGGCUAACUACGUG